CAUGCAAGUAUCCGCCAACCUGUGAAAAUGCCCUUUUACUCGCUCACCUCGAACGAUCCCGAAGGAGCUGGUAUCAAGCACACCCUACGUAGCUCAAAACACCUUGCUCAGCCACACCCCCACGGGAUACAGCAGUAAUAAAAAUUAAGCAAUGAACGAAAGUUUGACUAAGCUAUACUAAAAGAGAGUUGGUCAAUCUCGUGCCAGCCACCGCGGUCAUACGAUUGACUCAAAUUAAUAAGACCCGGCGUAAAGUGUGGUUAUAAACAAGGUAUUACAAUAAAGUUAAAUCACACCUUAGCUGUAAAAAGCCAAAGGUUUGUAAUAAAUAAACUACUAAAGUAACUUUACUAUACACAUGAACCCACGAUAGCUAAGACACAAACUGGGAUUAGAUACCCCACUAUGCUUAGCCUUAAACCACGAUGUUUAGCAACAAAAACAUCCGCCAGAGAACUACAAGCCACAGCUUAAAACUCAAAGGACUUGGCGGUGCUUUAUACCCCCUAGAGGAGCCUGUUACAUAAUCGAUAAACCCCGAUAAACCACACCAUCACUCGCUAAAUCAGUCUAUAUACCGCCAUCUUCAGCAAACCCUUAUAAGGACCAAUAGUAAGCAUAAACGUAAGCACAAAAACGUUAGGUCAAGGUGUAACCUAUGUGAUGGGACAUAAUGGGCUACAUUUUCUUCAUAAGAACAAUAACGGACUUCUACCUGAAAAACUAGAACAAAGGAGGAUUUAGCAGUAAAUCAGGAAUAGAGAGCCUGAUUGAACCAGGCCAUGAAGCACGCACACACCGCCCGUCACCCUCCUCAAGAGGAGACAAGUCGUAACAAGGUAAGCAUACUGGAAAGUGUGCUUGGAAUACAAAGUGUAGCUUAAUAAAGCCCUGGCCUACCCCAGAGAUCAGCCCUUUGAACAGCCUAGCCCCAAAYRAAWCAUYYAGUAUAGGMGAUAGAAAAGAGCAUAGAAGUACCGUAAGGGAAAGAUGAAAGAYUAAGUGAACAGCAGAGAUUAUUCCUCCUACCUUUUGCAUAAUGGACUAACUAGAAACCCAUUGACAAAGUGACCUGAAGCCAAUAACCCCGAAACCAGACGAGCUACUCGUGAACAAUUUACCAGAAUGAACUCAUCUAUGUGGCAAAAUAGUGAGAUGAUUUGCGAGUAGAGGUGAAAUGCCAAUCGAGCCUGGAGAUAGCUGGUUGUCCAAAAAAAGAAUUUCAGUUCAACCUAAAGCAUGCCUAUAAAACCAAUAAUUAUGAUGUAAGCUUUAGAGCUAUUCAAUAGGGGGACAGCUCUAUUGAAUAAGGAUACAACCUUGCAAGGUGAGUAAGAAAUUAUUACAACCAUAGUUGGCCUAAAAGCAGCCACCAAUUAAGAAAGCGUUAAAGCUCAAAAUCCCUCCCUUAUUGGAYUACUCUAUUUAAUAGAGAAAUAMUGYUARYAURAGUAACAAGAAUUCUCCGGCRYRGYUUAUAUCAGAACGAAUACUCACUGAUAGUUAACGACCUAGUAACUACAAUCMCCMCAUAAAUAUGCUAUUACCAUUUUUAACCCAACACAGGAAUGCGACCCGGAAAGAUUAAAAGAAGAAGAAGGAACUCGGCAAGCACGAACCCCGCCUGUUUACCAAAAACAUCACCUCUAGCAUUACAGUAUUAGAGGCACUGCCUGCCCAGUGACACUAGUUAAACGGCCGCGGUACUCUGACCGUGCAAAGGUAGCAUAAUCAUUUGUUCUCUAAUUAAGGACUUGUAUGAACGGCUAGACGAGGGCUCAACUGUCUCCUACCUCCAAUCAGUGAAAUUGACCUCCCCGUGAAGAGGCGGGGAUAUAAUUAUAAGACGAGAAGACCCUAUGGAGCUUUAAU
This 1872-nucleotide non-coding RNA is filed under the name Galegeeska revoilii (Somali elephant shrew). RNAcentral describes it as "Elephantulus revoili (Somali elephant shrew) partial contains 12S ribosomal RNA, tRNA-Val (trnV), and 16S ribosomal RNA". The stretch from base 984 to 1872 matches the Rfam family "Bacterial large subunit ribosomal RNA", at positions 1 to 2105 of the family's 2925-position model. The record is from RNAcentral. Lineage: Eukaryota; Metazoa; Chordata; Mammalia; Macroscelidea; Macroscelididae.